GUCACAAUCUUAUUGAUGUCUUUAUCAAC
This 29-nucleotide small RNA is filed under the name Lacticaseibacillus paracasei. Its description in RNAcentral is "Lactobacillus paracasei CRISPR-DR8". Lineage: Bacteria; Bacillati; Bacillota; Bacilli; Lactobacillales; Lactobacillaceae. The record is from RNAcentral.